ACCAGGCUAGUACAAGAAGUACAGAGACUUUACACGUCUCAAGUGGUUUUCUCAAAACCGCCUGGUU
RNAcentral lists this transfer RNA (67 nucleotides) under Propeamussium sp. mt1. RNAcentral describes it as "tRNA-Val". The record is from RNAcentral. Lineage: Eukaryota; Metazoa; Mollusca; Bivalvia; Pectinida; Propeamussiidae.